Molecule: long non-coding RNA, 730 nt
Organism: Thrips palmi
Lineage: Eukaryota; Metazoa; Arthropoda; Insecta; Thysanoptera; Thripidae
Exons: 3
Source: RefSeq, a predicted model, not a curated record
UUGUACUUAUGGUGGCCACUAUUAAGUACAAGAUAUUAAAUUGUGGCAUUGUGGUUCAAUGCAGGAUUUAACCAGUUUUCUAUUAGGCAGCCAAGUGGCUAUCCUGACAAAUAACUCCUCUGCUCUACUGGUUGUUGCUUUAGCUAUUGGAGAGUGGGCUUGCAUAAACAUGCAUCAUGACCUGUAUCAGAAGCUGCAUUGGAUUAUGGCAGCUUUCAUGUUAAGUUAAUUUUGAAUAGAAAUGAUUUGUUGGUUUUGUCUUUCGACUUUAUUGGCUUUCUCUUUAGGUGUCAUGUUCAAAGUGUAAUUAAAGUGGUCCUUAUGAUGAUGCACUCCUUUCAUGUUAUUGAUAUGGAUUGUGUGGGUGCUGUAUUCUGGCAGAAAAACUGUAUUGUUCUUUGAUUUGAGUGUAGCUUAAGGCCAUUAUGUGAAAUGGGAGAGAGAGAAAAGAGAACUAGCUAAGGAGUCCUGCAGGAAUACAGGCACAGGCAUCCUAGUCUCACACGCACACUGAGAGGCAAGAGAAAUAGAGAGCCUUCCAUGAAACAAACCAAACAAAAAUACCAAGUCAAAGCAUUGAGCCAUCAUAUGAAGAGCUAUCCAGAAAGGUUGUUGUGCAGAUAUUAACAAGAUGCAAGCAAGCAUUAAGCUAUUGAUGGCAGUGGCUGCAAAGUUUUUGAAUUAAUGAAGUUAAGCUGAACCCCAAAUAAAUAAAUAAAUUCAGUGAGGC